GUGUUUCAUACACUUCCAUCUGUUUCUCCAUGCAUGUAAUGUCAAGAACAUUUCCCAGUAUUUGAUACAAACACCAACACGGAGCGCAUUCAAGAACUACCACAUCCAAAACAAAAAUACACCGAAUGUCUUCGUCAAUGUCUACAUUAAUCUCAUCCUCUUUCUCACAAACCCUCAAGAUAAGAACCCUAGCUAUUCCUCUCUCUCCCCAGACCCUUCUCACUUCCAAAACUCCACCAUCCUCAAUUUCCCUCACAAACAUGUUCAACCCUCAACCCAAUGAGAUACCCCAAUACCCGCAACCAGCCCCACCCGAAAUCCCUUCCCUGCCAAAAGUUCAACCUUCUCCUGUUCCAAGCGAGCAACCCCUCAUUCCUACCCGUCACCCGGAAACCGACCCGCAUGUACCACCCGAAAUAGUCACUGAUCCGGCUCCUGGCUACCCAAAUCCCAAACCAGAUGCCCCAAAACCGCCUCUGACCCCACCCGGGAUUGAGAUUCCGCUGCCAAAGCCGCCUGAGAAGAUGCCAAAGCAACCACCGGAAGUGGAUCCACCGCGGCCGCCGGAGAUUCUGCCGCCACCAAUUGCUCCGCCGGAUAUAACGCCACCCACUGGACCAAGUAUCUUUGGAUUGUAAGAACGAAACCUAAAGAAUAACUCUUCUUUCCAACGACUAAAACUUCUUCACGACUUUACCGUCAUUCGUCGUUCAACAGCCACCGAAGGUCCACUCAGAAGCGGUGUCGUCGAUCAUCUUCGCGUCUCUUUCCACCUAUUCCACCUUUGACAACGUUAUUUCACAAUGUUUUUUACAAUGCUAUUUGACAAUGUUUUUUACAACGCCACGUGGCGUUGUCUCAUUCAUUGUUUUAAAUGGUUUUUUGAACAAAUUUAAUUUUUUUUUCAAGGGUGUUUUUGAAAAAAAAAAAUGCUGAAACAUGUUCUCGCUUUCACUUUUGUGAAAUUCAUCCCUACGAAACUCUCUCACUAGUUUUUCCAUUCUUCAUUUGAAACUCUCGUUUUGCCACCAAAGUUGCUACCGUCCACCGUUGUGAAAAUUGUUCUUGGGUCCACCGUUCUCUCUGGACAAAGUGGUGUGUGUCGGUUUGCCAUUGAAGUGCUUGGAGGAAGUCUCGAUUAGGUCGACUCUUGAAAGAUAGACAUGGAGAUGGAGCCAGUCCUUGCGCUUGAUUUUGAUAUUAAAGAUAUCCUUUUAUCAAUUGUGGCGCAUGCGAGCUUGGAUGGAUAAAUCCUACAUUGCCAAUAUAAAUGCCAUACUUCGAGUCAGACAUAAGACGCGCAUUGGACAAACUCCAUUUAGGUCUUGUUUAAACAUUGUUGAUCCUUUAGAGAUCAAUUUAAAAUUGUUGAAACAGAUGGUAUGUCGGUGGGUUCCCCACCAUCAAUCUUUUGGACUUAUACAAAUGUAGGUUAAAUUAUGAAUUUGUAAAUAUUUCAUUAUCGUUGUCUUGACACUGUUUCUAAAUUCCCAUAUGUUCA
RNA transcript from Vigna radiata var. radiata (mung bean), 1501 nucleotides. It is a transcript of the gene named anther-specific proline-rich protein APG-like, with no coding region annotated. The transcript has 4 exons. Lineage: Eukaryota; Viridiplantae; Streptophyta; Magnoliopsida; Fabales; Fabaceae. The record is from RefSeq and is a predicted model, not a curated record.